RNAcentral lists this small nuclear RNA (23 nucleotides) under Arabidopsis thaliana (thale cress). RNAcentral describes it as "snRNA_01882". Lineage: Eukaryota; Viridiplantae; Streptophyta; Magnoliopsida; Brassicales; Brassicaceae. The record is from RNAcentral.
ACCUGCAGCAUAUCUUUUGUUCU